RNAcentral lists this ribosomal RNA (253 nucleotides) under uncultured bacterium. Its description in RNAcentral is "partial 16S ribosomal RNA". It matches the Rfam family "Bacterial small subunit ribosomal RNA", at positions 524 to 776 of the family's 1533-position model. The record is from RNAcentral.
UACGAAGGGGGCUAGCGUUGUUCGGAAUUACUGGGCGUAAAGCGCGCGCAGGCGGCCUUCCAAGUCAGAGGUGAAAGCCCGGAGCUCAACUCCGGAACUGCCAUUGAAACUGUGAGACUUGAGUACGAGAGAGGUGAGUGGAAUUCCCAGUGUAGAGGUGAAAUUCGUAGAUAUUGGGAAGAACACCGGUGGCGAAGGCGGCUCACUGGCUCAUUACUGACGCUCAGGCGCGAUAGCGUGGGGAUCAAACAGG